This 1970-nucleotide long non-coding RNA is filed under the name Brassica napus (rape). Its description in RNAcentral is "long non-coding RNA (BNAP_LNC023803)". Lineage: Eukaryota; Viridiplantae; Streptophyta; Magnoliopsida; Brassicales; Brassicaceae. The record is from RNAcentral.
GACAUGCUCACCGAGCAAAGCAUUGAACAACAACAAUUCUCGAAGAAUCUUAAGCUAUCUUUUUGUAACGUCUUUGAAUUUCACUAAGAGAGAAAAAAAGUUAGAAGAAAAUGCAGUCGAUGAAGGAAACAGCUUCGAACAUCGCAGCUUCUGCGAAGUCUGGCAUGGACAAGACCAAAGCCACCUUGGAGGAAAAGGUAUGUUUACUAUAAUUGUGUUUAUCAUUUAAGCAAAAUGAUUUUCUUUUGAUGAUAAAUAAUGGUAUAUGAUCUUAAGGAGGUAAUCUUGAAAUGGAUCGACGUAGUAUGUAAAUAUGAUUCCUGAUCUGCAAGAAUCUUAAGGACGUUGUUUUUUAUGAUUUGUAGAUUCCACCGCAAGAUAUAAGAUGGGGUGGAGAGGAGAAUGGGGCAGCUUUAAAUGCAGGACAUGGGAGUCGAAGAACCUUAAGCAAUGGUGGUCUAGGGAGAUUGCCAAUGACUCAGCCAAGAAGAGACCAUCUAGUAGCACAAAACGGUGGCGGGAGGAAGCUUUUCGAUGAGAUCGAACUGUUCAACACAGACUCGCUUGUGAAAGAGGUAAGCAUCUCUCUGUCUCUCCGUGGAUGAGUUUUAACAUUUUGCUUAGUCUGAAGUGUUUUUGCGUCGCAUUAGGUGGAGAGAGUUUUUGAUUCUAAUCUUCCUGACCCGCACGAGCUUGAUAAGGCCAAGAAGCUACUCAAGGUCAGAGACGUAACAAGAACGCUUUAUUAUUUAUAUAAACGAUUGAUCAAAAGUGAAACUUGGUUGCUUUUAUUGGAUGAUGCAGGAACAUGAACAGGCGCUUGUUUCUGCCAUUGCAAGGCUUGCGGAUGCUUCUGAUUUCGAAAGCGGUAAGAAACAUUAAGGGAGGGCUUUGUAUAUGGCCUGAGAAUAAGUUUAUUGCCUAUUCAAAUCACAUUGUUUGUCAGAACGACUCAAUGUCUUUGUUUCAUUACAAGACCAGUGAUGUUAUGUUUUUUUUUUUUCUUGGUUUUGUAUGUUGCUGAAAACCAGAUGGAGAAGAAGCGUAUAUGCAUGAGCUUCCAGUGCAUGAGGGAUAACAGUGGAUAAAGAAAAGAGAUUCGCCCAUCAAACCUUAGCACACUCUUUUUAUGUCCUUCACGUAUAGCAAACCGAACAAGUUCCUCCGAAAAUGAAAAUAUUAUGUAUUGGUUUCAAAAUGUAUUAAAAUAACCGUUAGAAAUUUUGUUUGUAAAAACACGUUAAUUAUUUUUCAAAUUUCUUAAUAAUUUAUGUGACCAUCAGGUCUAUCCAUCAAGAUUAUGCUUUACCUUUGUGGUUAACGUUAAAUUUGCAACAUGUAUCGAAUCAGUGAUGACGAACGUGCCAAAAGCCUAAUGGUGUAGUUAGAUUUUUGGUGUAUACGCGGCGGACGUAUAAAACAGCUAUAACUAAUAACUCUUUCCACCACUAACCAAAGCCUAACACGCGUCAACAUGCGAACUGCUCUACGGCUCUACCGCUACGUACACGUGCAUGACAAAGAGCUGCAACACAAAGCAUACCACCUUUUGCUUCGUGACACGUCUAGCUGACGUGUUGCCAAAUAGCGUAAUUAAAUAAUAAUCACAGUUACCGACUAUAGUACUAUACUACCACGUGGCUUUGGCAAUGCCUAUAUUAUGUGACAUGCUCACCGAGCAAAGCAUUGAACAACAACAAUUCUCGAAGAAUCUUAAGCUAUCUUUUUGUAACGUCUUUGAAUUUCACUAAGAGAGAAAAAAAGUUAGAAGAAAAUGCAGUCGAUGAAGGAAACAGCUUCGAACAUCGCAGCUUCUGCGAAGUCUGGCAUGGACAAGACCAAAGCCACCUUGGAGGAAAAGGUAUGUUUACUGUAAUUGUGUUUAUCAUUUAAGCAAAAUGAUUUUCUUUUGAUGAUAAAUAAUGGUAUGUUGUAUUUGGUUUCGUAGGCGGAGAAGAUGACAACACGAG